UACGAAGGGGGCUAGCGUUGCUCGGAAUUACUGGGCGUAAAGGGCGCGUAGGCGGACAGUUAAGUCAGAGGUGAAAGCCCAGGGCUCAACCCUGGAAUUGCCUUUGAUACUGGCUGUCUUGAGUGCGGGAGAGGUGUGUGGAACUCCGAGUGUAGAGGUGAAAUUCGUAGAUAUUCGGAGGAACACCAGUGGCGAAGGCGACACACUGGCCCGUAACUGACGCUGAGGCGCGAAAGCGUGGGGAGCAAACAGG
Molecule: ribosomal RNA, 253 nt
Filed under: uncultured bacterium
Lineage: Bacteria
Description: partial 16S ribosomal RNA
Rfam family: Bacterial small subunit ribosomal RNA
Source: RNAcentral